GGGACCUUGGACCCCACAGGUCCAGGCUGGCGCUGGCCUGGGCUCCACAGCCUCCCAAGGCCCCCAUGGGGCCUUGGGCGGGGGCAUCAGCCAUGACCGGACGUUUAGAGUUCUGGUUCCGUCUCUCAUUUGGGGCGUCGGAUAAAAAUCCAGGCUUCCGGACCCAGCCCACACUGCAUCAGAGUCAUCAGGAAACUCUGGUUGUGGCAGGCGCCACAAGUGAGCUGGUUUGACCACUGACUUAGUUCAACACCGCCAUUUCGCUUGUAGAAAAGUGAACCCCGAGAAGGCACAGAACUUACCUGAAGUCGCCAGGCAGUUAGGCAGCAGGGCCGAGGUCAGAACCCGGGCUGUCUUCAGCUGCCUCUUCCCCAGCGUAUCUUGAUUCAGUCAGGAAUACCGCAGCAAGGUGAUUCUGUGGCCAGAAUUCUUUGUUGGGUGAUAGUAGGGUGUUGAAGUGCACUUUGGUGUCAGAGGGCUGCCCAGGAGCUGCAGGACAAGCACCAGGAGCCCCUCCGGGUAGCUACUACCCUGGACCCCCCAGUAGUGGAGGGCAGUAUGGUAGUGGGCUACCCCCUGGUGGUGGUUAUGGGGGUCCUGCCCCUGGAGGGCCUUAUGGACCACCAGCUGGUGGAGGGCCCUAUGGACACCCCAAUCCUGGGAUGUUCCCCUCUGGAACUCCAGGAGGACCAUAUGGCGGUGCAGCUCCAGGGGGCCCCUAUGGUCAGCCACCUCCAAGUUCCUACGGUGCCCAGCAGCCUGGGCUUUAUGGACAGGGUGGCGCCCCUCCCAAUGUGGAUCCUGAGGCCUACUCCUGGUUCCAGUCGGUGGACUCAGAUCACAGUGGCUAUAUCUCCAUGAAGGAGCUAAAGCAGGCCCUGGUCAACUGCAAUUGGUCCUCAUUCAAUGAUGAGACCUGCCUCAUGAUGAUAA
Molecule: small RNA, 933 nt
Filed under: Pongo abelii (Sumatran orangutan)
Lineage: Eukaryota; Metazoa; Chordata; Mammalia; Primates; Hominidae
Description: processed transcript
Source: RNAcentral